RNAcentral lists this ribosomal RNA (484 nucleotides) under uncultured bacterium. RNAcentral's name for it is "partial 16S ribosomal RNA". It matches the Rfam family "Bacterial small subunit ribosomal RNA", at positions 30 to 507 of the family's 1533-position model. The record is from RNAcentral.
AUUGAACGCUGGCGGCAGGCCUAACACAUGCCAGUCGAGCGGAUGAAGGGAGCUUGCUCCUGGAUUCAGCGGCGGACGGGUGAGUAAUGCCUAGGAAUCUGCCUGGUAUUGGGGGAUAACGUCCUGAAACGGGCGCUAAUACUGCAUACGUCCUGAGGGAGAAAGUGGGGGAUCUUCGGACCUCACGCUCUCAGAUGAGCCUAGGUCGGAUUGGCUAGUUGGUGGGGUAAAGGCCUACCAAGGCGACGAUCCGUAACUGGUCUGAGAGGAUGAUCAGUCACACUGGAAGUGGGACACGGACCAGACUCCUACGGGAGGCAGCAGUGGGGAAUGUUGGGCAGUGGGCGGAAGCAUGAUACAGCCAGGGCGCGUGUGUGAAGAAGGUCUUCGGAUUGUAAAGCACUUUAAGUGGGGAGGAAGGGCAGUAAGUUAAUACCUUGCUGUUUUGACGUUACCAGCAGAAUAAGCACCGGCUAACUACGUG